GCCUCUUACCAAUUUGGAAAUGUUUAUUCAAAGACGAUGAUUGUAUAGAUGGUAGCAUUUUACAAUGUUAGAGCAGUAAUGAAAUUAUAAUUUUUUUUUUCUAGAUUUUUUCAUGCAUGUUUCAACAUACGUUUUGUAGUGACAGUUAAAAAGUGCAUUGUUAAGCCAACUGAUUGUCUUAUCUCUCAUGCUGCGAUGAAUUAGAAGCUUGACUCGUUUGUUGUUGGUCUCCUCAAGUAAUAGCGCAAGCUGUUUGCAAGAACCUGUUGAAGGGGUUUGAUGAGAGCUUUGUUCUUGUAGCUUACAUGAAAUUUUGCCUUAGCUAGCAGUCCCUCGGUGUCAAAUUCUCCUGAUAUAACAUCAAUGUUUAUUUCAGUAAUGAUCUUGACGAGAUCAACUAUUAAUCCAGGUCGAUCUGCUGCCUCUACACACAGUAAGCUUCGUUCAGGACCAUCAUCAUAGACAUGGAUAUGAGUUGCUAUGUCCACAUCUAGCUUUUGACUUGGUUGAAAAGCACCAAAGGCUUCACCCAUAGCUAACUGAGAGCUAGAUUCCGGAUGAAACUCCAUCAAAUUGUUGAUAAUUGUCAAUCGAAUUGCUUCUAGCAGCUCUGGAUCCUCAACCUUUCUACCUGUAGAAGCAUGUGUGAUGCAUAAUUUAUUGUGCUUCCCUGAUGAAUCUAGAUAGACAUUAGCCUUGACAACAUUCA
RNAcentral lists this unclassified non-coding RNA (709 nucleotides) under Hevea brasiliensis (rubber tree). The record is from RNAcentral. Lineage: Eukaryota; Viridiplantae; Streptophyta; Magnoliopsida; Malpighiales; Euphorbiaceae.